RNAcentral lists this ribosomal RNA (440 nucleotides) under uncultured bacterium. RNAcentral describes it as "partial 16S ribosomal RNA". It matches the Rfam family "Bacterial small subunit ribosomal RNA", at positions 338 to 795 of the family's 1533-position model. The record is from RNAcentral.
CCUACGGUGGGCAGCAGUGGGGGAUAUUGCACAAUGGGGGGAACCCUGAUGCAGCGACGCCGCGUGGGUGAAGAAGCGCCUCGGCGCGUAAAGCCCUGUCAGCAGGGAAGAAAAUGACGGUACGUGAAGAAGCAGCCCCGGCUAACUACGUGCCAGCAGCCGCGGUACUACGUAGGGGGCAAGCGUUAUCCGGAUUUACUGGGUGGAAGGGGGGCGCAGACGGCGAUGCAAGCCAGGAGUGAAAGCCCGGGGCCCAACCCCGGGACUGCUCUUGGAACUGCGUGGCUGGAGUGCAGGAGGGGCAGGCGGAAUUCCUGGUGUAGCGGUGAAAUGCGUAGAUAUCAGGAGGAACACCGGUGGCGAAGGCGGCCUGCUGGACUGCAACUGACGUUGAGGCCCGAAAGCGUGGGGAGCAAACAGGAUUAGAUACCCUGGUAGUC